CCCUUAGAUGUUCUGGGCCGCACGCGUGCUACACUGAGUGGAUCAGCGGGUCAGGUUGCGCGAAAGUGUUUCCUAAUCGUUAAAUCCGCUCGUGAUGGGGAUUGACGGUUGCAAUUUUCCGUCAUGAACGAGGAAUACCUUGUAAGCGCGGGUCAUCAUCCCGCGCUGAAUACGUCCCUGCCCUUUGUACACACCGCCCGUCGCUCCUACCGAUUGAGUGGUCCGGUGAGGCUUUGGGAUCUGAGCGGAAAGAGCGUUUCGCUGUUUCUGCCCGGAAAACUCAGUCGAACCUUAUCAUUUAGAGGAAGGAGAAGUCGUAACA
Molecule: ribosomal RNA, 322 nt
Filed under: uncultured eukaryote
Lineage: Eukaryota
Description: partial 18S ribosomal RNA
Rfam family: Eukaryotic small subunit ribosomal RNA
Source: RNAcentral